AACGAACGCUGGCGGCAUGCCUAACACAUGCAAGUCGAACGAGACCUUCGGGUCUAGUGGCGCACGGGUGCGUAACGCGUGGGAACCUGCCCUUAGGUUCGGAAUAACUCCCCGAAAGGGGUGCUAAUACCGGAUAAUGUCUUCGGACCAAAGAUUUAUCGACUUUGGAUGGGCCCGCGUUGGAUUAGCCAGUUGGUAGGGUAAAAGCCUACCAAGGCGACGAUCCAUAGCUGGUCUGAGAGGAUGAUCAGCCACACUGGGACUGGGACACGGCCCAGACUCCUACGGGAGGCAGCAGUGGGGAAUAUUGGACAAUGGGCGAAAGCCUGAUCCAGCAAUGCCGCGUGAGUGAUGAAGGCGUUAGGGUUGUAAAGCUCUUUUACCCGGGAUGAUAAUGACAGUACCGGGAGAAUAAGCUCCGGCUAACUCCGUG
RNAcentral lists this ribosomal RNA (433 nucleotides) under uncultured bacterium. Its description in RNAcentral is "partial 16S ribosomal RNA". It matches the Rfam family "Bacterial small subunit ribosomal RNA", at positions 29 to 507 of the family's 1533-position model. The record is from RNAcentral.